Molecule: long non-coding RNA, 508 nt
Filed under: Prunus persica (peach)
Lineage: Eukaryota; Viridiplantae; Streptophyta; Magnoliopsida; Rosales; Rosaceae
Description: long non-coding RNA (PPER_LNC007837)
Source: RNAcentral
CAGACAUGAUUAAUUACCUAGUACAAAUUAACAUUUAAAUAUUUUACCUAGUUAUGCUGUUGGUCUUCAUUGGCCAAAUCUUGUAAAGUUUCUAUAGCACCAGAGACAUCAGAUAUGUCUACCAUUCUCUCUGUCUUGAUUUAUAGAAUAACCACUCCCAUCCCAUAAACGUCCCCUGUUGUAAACCAUUGACUUGUGUACAUACAUAAUCAUAUUAAAUGCCACCCAUAUGUUAUAUUAGUGUAUUAAUUUUAUGCUUGAUUUACAUUAUAUUGAUUCUUAUUAUAGUACUGGGGGGGGACGUGUGUUACGUUGAUAUAGGUUGUAGAAGUACUAGCUAAAUUCUAUGUUGAUUUAGCAAUCUUUAACUUGUAUCUUAUGUCUUUGAGCCCAAAUCCUGAAAGCUUAACAUUUAAGCUCUGCAUGCAUAAAUAGAAAACACACUUACUUAAUAAUAUAAUUAAGCUUUAUUAGUAGUAACAUGACGAAAUUAUAUUAUUAAUCACAU